UUGUUUCUUUCAGGUUGUAACCCCUUACAUGAACCCUUGCCCAUAUAUGGUGUUUCCAUGGACCCCUGUGCCACUGGUCUUCAAUCUAUUUAGGACAAUGGGUUUGCAGCAUCUGAUUGUGGUGAACACUAAAGGGCAGCUUGUGGGAAUGAUAACAAGAUACAAUCUAACCCAUGAAUAUAUGGAGCAUUGUCUGGAAAACCUUGGCACAAACUAAAAGUAAUAUUUUCUGGAUGUAAAUUUAGAAGAAAUUCAAGGAUUUAAUUUAAGAUAAUUUAGAAAAUAUUUCUUACCUUCUGUACCAUAAAUGUUCUUUUAUGGGGGAAAAGUAGUUAUUAUUUUGUUAUGUUUUGAAUGGAUGAGUGAAUGAAUGAAUGAAUGAA
This is a long non-coding RNA of Stylophora pistillata, 383 nucleotides long. NCBI's taxonomy places the organism in Eukaryota, Metazoa, Cnidaria, Anthozoa, Scleractinia, Pocilloporidae. The record is from RefSeq and is a predicted model, not a curated record.